RNAcentral lists this ribosomal RNA (1842 nucleotides) under Salmonella enterica. Its description in RNAcentral is "partial 23S ribosomal RNA". It matches the Rfam family "Bacterial large subunit ribosomal RNA", at positions 977 to 2802 of the family's 2925-position model. Lineage: Bacteria; Pseudomonadati; Pseudomonadota; Gammaproteobacteria; Enterobacterales; Enterobacteriaceae. The record is from RNAcentral.
ACGGGAGACACACGGCGGGUGCUAACGUCCGUCGUGAAGAGGGAAACAACCCAGACCGCCAGCUAAGGUCCCAAAGUCAUGGUUAAGUGGGAAACGAUGUGGGAAGGCCCAGACAGCCAGGAUGUUGGCUUAGAAGCAGCCAUCAUUUAAAGAAAGCGUAAUAGCUCACUGGUCGAGUCGGCCUGCGCGGAAGAUGUAACGGGGCUAAACCAUGCACCGAAGCUGCGGCAGCGACACUGUGUGUUGUUGGGUAGGGGAGCGUUCUGUAAGCCUGUGAAGGUGUGUCGUGAGGCAUGCUGGAGGUAUCAGAAGUGCGAAUGCUGACAUAAGUAACGAUAAAGCGGGUGAAAAGCCCGCUCGCCGGAAGACCAAGGGUUCCUGUCCAACGUUAAUCGGGGCAGGGUGAGUCGACCCCUAAGGCGAGGCCGAAAGGCGUAGUCGAUGGGAAACGGGUUAAUAUUCCCGUACUUGGUGUUACUGCGAAGGGGGGACGGAGAAGGCUAUGUUGGCCGGGCGACGGUUGUCCCGGUUUAAGCGUGUAGGUGUGUGUUCCAGGUAAAUCCGGUUCACUUUAACACUGAGGCGUGACGACGAGGCACUACGGUGCUGAAGCAACAAAUGCCCUGCUUCCAGGAAAAGCCUCUAAGCAUCAGGUAACAUCAAAUCGUACCCCAAACCGACACAGGUGGUCAGGUAGAGAAUACCAAGGCGCUUGAGAGAACUCGGGUGAAGGAACUAGGCAAAAUGGUGCCGUAACUUCGGGAGAAGGCACGCUGACACGUAGGUGAAGUGAUUUACUCAUGGAGCUGAAGUCAGUCGAAGAUACCAGCUGGCUGCAACUGUUUAUUAAAAACACAGCACUGUGCAAACACGAAAGUGGACGUAUACGGUGUGACGCCUGCCCGGUGCCGGAAGGUUAAUUGAUGGGGUCAGCGCAAGCGAAGCUCCUGAUCGAAGCCCCGGUAAACGGCGGCCGUAACUAUAACGGUCCUAAGGUAGCGAAAUUCCUUGUCGGGUAAGUUCCGACCUGCACGAAUGGCGUAAUGAUGGCCAGGCUGUCUCCACCCGAGACUCAGUGAAAUUGAACUCGCUGUGAAGAUGCAGUGUACCCGCGGCAAGACGGAAAGACCCCGUGAACCUUUACUAUAGCUUGACACUGAACAUUGAGCCUUGAUGUGUAGGAUAGGUGGGAGGCUUUGAAGUGUGGACGCCAGUCUGCAUGGAGCCGACCUUGAAAUACCACCCUUUAAUGUUUGAUGUUCUAACGUGGACCCGUUACCCGGGUUGCGGACAGUGUCUGGUGGGUAGUUUGACUGGGGCGGUCUCCUCCUAAAGAGUAACGGAGGAGCACGAAGGUUGGCUAAUCCUGGUCGGACAUCAGGAGGUUAGUGCAAUGGCAUAAGCCAGCUUGACUGCGAGCGUGACGGCGCGAGCAGGUGCGAAAGCAGGUCAUAGUGAUCCGGUGGUUCUGAAUGGAAGGGCCAUCGCUCAACGGAUAAAAGGUACUCCGGGGAUAACAGGCUGAUACCGCCCAAGAGUUCAUAUCGACGGCGGUGUUUGGCACCUCGAUGUCGGCUCAUCACAUCCUGGGGCUGAAGUAGGUCCCAAGGGUAUGGCUGUUCGCCAUUUAAAGUGGUACGCGAGCUGGGUUUAGAACGUCGUGAGACAGUUCGGUCCCUAUCUGCCGUGGGCGCUGGAGAACUGAGGGGGGCUGCUCCUAGUACGAGAGGACCGGAGUGGACGCAUCACUGGUGUUCGGGUUGUCAUGCCAAUGGCACUGCCCGGUAGCUAAAUGCGGAAGAGAUAAGUGCUGAAAGCAUCUAAGCACGAAACUUGCCCCGA